CGUGCAGGCGGUUUGGUGAGUUGGAUGUGAAAGCUCCUGGCUUAACUGGGAGAGGUCGUUCAAUACUGCCAGACUAGAGGACGGUAGAGGAAGGUAGAAUUCCUGGUGUAGUGGUGAAAUGCGUAGAUAUCAGGAGGAAUACCAGAGGCGAAGGCGGCCUUCUGGGCCGUUCCUGACGCUAAGACGCGAAAGCAUGGGUAGCAAACG
RNAcentral lists this ribosomal RNA (207 nucleotides) under uncultured bacterium. RNAcentral describes it as "partial 16S ribosomal RNA". It matches the Rfam family "Bacterial small subunit ribosomal RNA", at positions 568 to 774 of the family's 1533-position model. The record is from RNAcentral.